CCUACGGGAGGCAGCAGUGGGGAAUAUUGCACAAUGGGGGAAACCCUGAUGCAGCGACGCCGCGUGAGUGAAGAAGCGUUUCGGCGCGUAAAGCUCUGUCAGCGGGGAAGAAACACGGUUCGCGAGAGCCGCGGACGGUACCCGACCAAGAAGCCGCGGCUAACUACGUGCCAGCAGCCGCGGUAAUACGCAGGGGGCAAGCGUUAUCCGGAUUCACUGGGGGUAAAGGGAGCGUAGACGGCGAGACAAGUCUGGAGUGAAAGGCCGGGGCCCAACCCCGGGACUGCUCUGGAAACUGCCUAGCUGGAGUACAGGAGAGGUAAGUGGAAUUCCUAGUGUAGCGGUGAAAUGCGUAGAUAUUAGGAGGAACACCAGUGGCGAAGGCGGCUUACUGGACUGUAACUGACGUUGAGGCUCGAAAGCGUGGGGAUCAAACAGGAUUAGAUACCCGAGUAGUC
Molecule: ribosomal RNA, 458 nt
Filed under: uncultured bacterium
Lineage: Bacteria
Description: partial 16S ribosomal RNA
Rfam family: Bacterial small subunit ribosomal RNA
Source: RNAcentral